This 1634-nucleotide long non-coding RNA is filed under the name Phasianus colchicus (ring-necked pheasant). RNAcentral's name for it is "lncRNA (ENSPCLG00000004355.1)". Lineage: Eukaryota; Metazoa; Chordata; Aves; Galliformes; Phasianidae. The record is from RNAcentral.
AUUUAUAUGAUAUCUUUUUCUUUUCCCUGAUGCCUCUGGAGUAAUUAAUUUCCCUUGUUUGCUACACAGAUGUUUGGUUAUUUUUUUCAAUGAAAUUUGAUAAAGAAUGACACCUUCACAGACAGGUCUGGAGUAAAACUGGGUGAAUAUCUUGACAUGUUGCAUUAUAAGGUAGGGAGAUGUUUAAACACCCAAAAGACUGACUUUUCAGGUUACACAGAGCCUGAGCAAUAUCUGGUUUCUGGCAUAGGGAGGGAUAGAAAAAAGCUGUGUUUGAAGAAAAGAUGCUGUGUGAAUGAGAUGACAGUGCUGGGUUUUGUGACAGCAGAACAGCCUCCUAUUGUGUGUUUGUGUGCUUAGUAUCCUUCCAUCACCAUGAAUUUAUGCUGAAAAAUCAACACGUAUUUGCACACGUCACUGUUAAGACACUAGUGACAUGUAACCAUAGUGAUCAGAGAACUUUGUAAACUCAUGUGAAGUAACAAUCAAUGACUAGCAACUUCUUCUUGGAACAAUUAAACAGAAGGAGGUAGAGAUUACGUUGCACUGGACUGCAAAAGCAUUGGAAUAAUGCUUUUAGGUUCUUGUGGUCUUGGAAAGUGCUAGCUAAUCUUCAGGGCUCAACCUGUUUCUGUGGAAAUACAUGACGGAACUUUGAGUGACUUCUACGGUUGGGGGACGUGCUCCUAAACACCACACUGCUGGGAGGUCUCUGAAUCAGGAGCCCACCUAGUAAAUUCGGCAGAAGUUUAUCAGUGAGUGGACAGCAACGUUCUGAGAAAGACUGGCAUUAUUUUCUGAAAAUCUUUAAGCAGAUGCAGGUGCUUGAUCUGUUCAAAUGAAAUCAUUAUGUGACUGAAGCCAACUUUUCCCAAGCAUGUCACCUUGAGUGAGAGACUCCUACAACAUGCUGCUUCUCCUUCAGCCCUUUCAGCACGAUGAUCUACAUCCUGUGUUUCAUGCAGGAUGUUGCAGAGGUGUCCUGCCUCAGACCAGGUAUACCCAAGCAGCAGAGCACUGCAGCCUUCAUUCAGUGCUGGAUUGUGUGAUGAACCUGGAGGAGAGACCACAGCUUUGGAUGUCAGCUGGACUGAUAAACAAAGAGGAAAUGCAUCUGAUGCAACUGUGGGGUGUUCAUACUGUCUGGAUGGGGCAGUGCGUGAUGCCCAGGGUCUGCGUGCACAGCUUUGGGACUUGGAAAGGUGUGCACAGACAACAAACAACAAACAACAAACUCCUGGAUGAAGGAGAAGAGUGAUGGUGCUCCUUUAUAUGCUUUAGAAGUGCAAAAGCCAGCCAUGGUGAACCAGGAUGUGAAUUUGUAGCUAAUCAGCUGCUCGAAGUUGACCAUCCUCCAGUGGGGCCACACACUCUGCUCAGUGUGGAGCUGGGGACAAAGAUAGGCCCCAGGGGGCAGCGCCUGUCCCCAGCUCGCCUCCGGGUGACACCUUCAUCUGUCCAACCUCUGGGCAACCAUCAAAAUCCUCUCACCAGGCCCUGGUGGCAGCUCUCCCUGCUGCUCCCCUCCGGUGGGAUGGGAACCCCAACCUCAGCCCCCUGCUUUCCUCAAACACCGCAGACUGGCACAGCCUGGAUUGUUUAGUCUGGCAAGGGGAGGGCAGAGGAGAGAUAGG